This 193-nucleotide ribosomal RNA is filed under the name uncultured bacterium. RNAcentral's name for it is "partial 16S ribosomal RNA". It matches the Rfam family "Bacterial small subunit ribosomal RNA", at positions 1308 to 1500 of the family's 1533-position model. The record is from RNAcentral.
CAACUCGACUACAUGAAGCUGGAAUCGCUAGUAAUCGCAGAUCAGAAUGCUGCGGUGAAUACGUUCCCGGGUCUUGUACACACCGCCCGUCACACCAUGGGAGUCGGGAAUGCCCGAAGUCAGUGACCCAACCGCAAGGAGGGAGCUGCCGAAGGCAGGCUCGAUAACUGGGGUGAAGUCGUAACAAGGUAUC